GCCUGGAAGUACGUCGCAAGCUGAAACUAAAGGAAUGGCGGGGGAGCACCACAACGGGUGGAGCUGCGGUUAAUGGACUCAACGCCGGGCAGCUCACCGGAUAGGACAGCGGAAUGAUAGCCGGGCUGAAGACCUUGCUUGACCAGCUGAGAGGAGGUGCAUGGCCGUCGUCAGUUCGUACUGUGAAGCAUCCUGUUUAGUCAGGCAACGAGCGAGACCCACGCCAACAGUUGCUAGCAUGUUCGCCGGAAUGAUGAGGACACUAUAAAAACCGCCUCUGCUAAAGAGGGGGAAGGAAUGGGCAACGGUAGGUCAGCAUGCCCCGAAUUAUCCGGGCUACACGCGGGCUACAAUGGUCAGGAAAAUGGGAAACGGCACUGAAAAGUGUAGUCAAUCUCCUAAACCUGUCCCAAGUUCGGAUUGUGGGCUGCAACUCGCCCACAUGAAGCUGGAAUCCGUAGUAAUCGCGUUUCAAAAUAGCGCGGGGAAUAAGUCCCUG
Molecule: ribosomal RNA, 499 nt
Filed under: uncultured methanogenic archaeon
Lineage: Archaea; Methanobacteriati; Methanobacteriota
Description: bacterial SSU rRNA
Rfam family: Archaeal small subunit ribosomal RNA
Source: RNAcentral